Molecule: long non-coding RNA, 228 nt
Filed under: Populus trichocarpa (black cottonwood)
Lineage: Eukaryota; Viridiplantae; Streptophyta; Magnoliopsida; Malpighiales; Salicaceae
Description: long non-coding RNA (PTRI_LNC003299)
Source: RNAcentral
CUACGGCAUUUCCACAGAGCAAUAAGAAAUGCAAAUGCUCUCCAUCUGUUUGUCAGAUGUCAACCUCAAUUAAACCCUGCACACGGAUUUUCCAAGGGCAUGACUUGCUAAGAAUCCAAAAGGUGGAGAAAAUUGUGGUGUAAAGACGCAACGAGUCUCCUUCAUCUCCUCUUUCUGCUGGUUCAUUGUUUUUAGGUGCUCCUCUACUGAUUCGUGACCCACUUCGUU